This 23-nucleotide non-coding RNA is filed under the name Arabidopsis thaliana (thale cress). Lineage: Eukaryota; Viridiplantae; Streptophyta; Magnoliopsida; Brassicales; Brassicaceae. The record is from RNAcentral.
GCCAAUUGCGAUCACAUGGUGUA